GACCAAUGAUUUUGUUUUAUGGAGCCUUGAAGGGCGACGAAUGGCACUAAAGUGUUGCCAUAUUGAUAACUCAAACACCCAUUGUUGAUGUGUGAUGCUGAUAAUACAGAGGCAGCUAGAGUGACAGAGUUUGAUGAAUAAACUUAAAUUAAAAAAAACAGAAAUAACCACCAUCUCUCUCAGAGGUCGUCUUUCUCAUUAUUGCGGGGAAACCUCAAAGGACAUCAGGAAAACCUUCAUCAACCUCUUUGUGCCCAGUGGCUUGUGCAACAGAGUUUCAGAA
Long non-coding RNA from Mya arenaria, 283 nucleotides. RefSeq lists it as uncharacterized. NCBI's taxonomy places the organism in Eukaryota, Metazoa, Mollusca, Bivalvia, Myida, Myidae. The record is from RefSeq and is a predicted model, not a curated record. The transcript has 3 exons.